GACGAACGCUGGCGGCGUGCUUAACACAUGCAAGUCGAACGGAAAGGCUCCAGCUUGCUGGAGUACUCGAGUGGCGAACGGGUGAGUAACACGUGGGUAAUCUGCCCUGCACUCUGGGAUAAGCCUGGGAAACUGGGUCUAAUACUGGAUAUGACCUUUCUCCUUAUGGGGUUUGGUGGAAAGUUUUUCGGUGUAGGAUGAGCCCGCGGCCUAUCAGCUUGUUGGUGGGGUGAUGGCCUACCAAGGCGACGACGGGUAGCCGGCCUGAGAGGGUGAUCGGCCACAUUGGGACUGAGGUACGGCCCAGACUCCUACGGGAGGCAGCAGUGGGGAAUAUUGCACCAUGGGCGGAAGCCUGAUGCAGCGACGCCGCGUGAGGGAUGACGGCCUUCGGGUUGUAAACCUCUUUCAGCAGGGACGAAGCGUAAGUGACGGUACCUGCAGAAGAAGCACCGGCUAACUAUGUG
Molecule: ribosomal RNA, 467 nt
Filed under: uncultured bacterium
Lineage: Bacteria
Description: partial 16S ribosomal RNA
Rfam family: Bacterial small subunit ribosomal RNA
Source: RNAcentral